Molecule: ribosomal RNA, 332 nt
Filed under: uncultured eukaryote
Lineage: Eukaryota
Description: SSU rRNA
Rfam family: Eukaryotic small subunit ribosomal RNA
Source: RNAcentral
AGCUCCAAUAGCGUAUAUUAAAGUUGUUGCAGUUAAAACGCUCGUAGUCGGAAGUAGUGUGCGGGGAUUGUGAGCGAAUGCUUGUGGUCUGAAGCAUAUGCACCAUUUGAGUGGUGGGUUACUUUGAGGAAAUUAGAGUGUUCAAAGCGGGCGAAAGCUUGGAUACGAGAGCAUGGAAUAACGGAAUAGGACCUUGAGCUUACGUUGGUUAGUAGUUUGAGGUAAUGAUUAAGAGGGACGGUUGGGGGCAUUAGUAUUUGGAAGCUAGAGGUGAAAUUCGAGGAUUUUCCAAAGACUAACGAGAGCGAAAGCAUUUGCCAAGGAUGUUUUCA